RNAcentral lists this ribosomal RNA (253 nucleotides) under Dorea formicigenerans. Its description in RNAcentral is "partial 16S ribosomal RNA". It matches the Rfam family "Bacterial small subunit ribosomal RNA", at positions 524 to 776 of the family's 1533-position model. The record is from RNAcentral. Lineage: Bacteria; Bacillati; Bacillota; Clostridia; Lachnospirales; Lachnospiraceae.
UACGUAGGGGGCAAGCGUUAUCCGGAUUUACUGGGUGUAAAGGGAGCGUAGACGGCUGUGCAAGUCUGGAGUGAAAGGCAUGGGCUCAACCUGUGGACUGCUUUGGAAACUGUGCAGCUAGAGUGUCGGAGAGGUAAGUGGAAUUCCUAGUGUAGCGGUGAAAUGCGUAGAUAUUAGGAGGAACACCAGUGGCGAAGGCGGCUUACUGGACGAUGACUGACGUUGAGGCUCGAAAGCGUGGGGAGCAAACAGG